Molecule: long non-coding RNA, 392 nt
Organism: Gadus morhua (Atlantic cod)
Lineage: Eukaryota; Metazoa; Chordata; Actinopteri; Gadiformes; Gadidae
Exons: 3
Source: RefSeq, a predicted model, not a curated record
CCUCAGUGACUAUGAGUCCCUCUGGUGAAAUAGAGGAGGGCAGUUCAGUGACUCUGAGCUGCAGCAGUGAUGCCAACCCAGCAGCUAACUACACCUGGUUCAAGGAACAUGAAGACUCAGUGAGAGAAUCAGGACAGAACUACACUAUCACUAAUAUCACAUCUGAGCAUGGAGGAAACUAUUACUGCCAAGCUCAUAAUGCAAUCGGACUUACUUAUUCCACCUUUUUGUUUAUUAAAGUGAUAUCAUCAUCGCUUAUAGCAAUGGUAGCUGUAACAACCAUUAGUGUCUUUGUGGUCACCAUACUCCUCAUCGUCUUCCUCUUGAUGAGAAGAAAGAGGGCCUCCAGAAAAGCAUGUGGACAGGGAGGAAGGCCAGAUACCGUGGAGGAG